This 515-nucleotide ribosomal RNA is filed under the name Puccinia tanaceti. RNAcentral describes it as "eukaryotic LSU rRNA". It matches the Rfam family "Eukaryotic large subunit ribosomal RNA", at positions 88 to 602 of the family's 3401-position model. Lineage: Eukaryota; Fungi; Basidiomycota; Pucciniomycetes; Pucciniales; Pucciniaceae. The record is from RNAcentral.
GGCGAAUGAAGAGGGAAAAAGCCCAAAUUUGUAAUCUGGCUCUUUCAGAGUCCGAGUUGUAAUUUUAAGAACUGUUUUCAGUGCUGGACCAUGUACAAGUCUUCUGAAAAGAAGCAUCAUAGAAGGUGAUAAUCCUGUUCAUGAUAUGGACUACCAGUGCAAUAUGAUACAGUCUCUAAGAGUCGAGUUGUUUGGGAAUGCAGCUCAAAGUGGGUGGUAAAUUCCAUCUAAGGCUAAAUAUUGAUGAGAGACCGAUAGCAAACAAGUACCGUGAGGGAAAGAUGAAAAGAACUUUGGAAAGAGAGUUAACAGUACGUGAAAUUGUUAAAAGGGAAACAAUUGAAGUUAGACUUGUUAUUAAUAGUUCAACCUUUUUUUUUAAAAAGGAGUAUUCUAUUGAUUAACAGACCAACAUCAAUUUUUGGGUGUUGGAUAAGGGUUUAAGGAAAUGUAGCAGUUUUUGACUGUGUUAUAUUCCUUUUGAGCUUUGAUACAAUGCUUAAGAUUGAGGAAUG